This 216-nucleotide long non-coding RNA is filed under the name Lathyrus oleraceus (garden pea). RNAcentral's name for it is "Pisum sativum (pea) long non-coding RNA (PSAT_LNC007942)". The record is from RNAcentral. Lineage: Eukaryota; Viridiplantae; Streptophyta; Magnoliopsida; Fabales; Fabaceae.
AAAAGUUUUUUCAUGCAAGAAAGUAACUUUAGUUUUGAAUGGUUGAUUUUAGGUUGGUUUUAGUUUAAGGUAUUAAAGAAUACAACCUCUAACCUAACCCUCAUGUAAAUUCACAUACUCCUAUCUAAAUAUAGUGUCCAUAGUGUCCUUAUUACAUCACUUUGAAAAGCAAGAAAGAUAAACUAGUCCUAAGGUGAUAUUUCUCUUCCCCACAUG